CGGCCCAGGGCUGGUAGCCGUAGUAGCCGGUGAUGCGGAGGAUCCUCUCCUCGAUGGAGGUGAGCCCCACGGAAGCGCUGGUGAGGUCCUCCACGGAGCGGGACCACUUCAAGUCCUCUUUGAUGGCCUCGUCCACCACCAGUAGGAGAACUCCACGUCUACCAGUAGAUGCAUCUCACCUAGGAGUAUGAAGUAAGGCAGAA
This 203-nucleotide long non-coding RNA is filed under the name Gallus gallus (chicken). Lineage: Eukaryota; Metazoa; Chordata; Aves; Galliformes; Phasianidae. The record is from RNAcentral.